Molecule: long non-coding RNA, 1533 nt
Organism: Oreochromis aureus
Lineage: Eukaryota; Metazoa; Chordata; Actinopteri; Cichliformes; Cichlidae
Exons: 5
Source: RefSeq, a predicted model, not a curated record
CUCUGGCUGGAAUCCGGUGGAUACAGCAGUGUUACAGGUACAGUACGUGAUAUUAAGGGCAGGCGGUCAUCACUGGGGGAAGACAAGAAGCAGACGUACUUCCAAGAGGGAGCUGCAGUGAGGUCACAGCCUGGUCACUGAGGUCAGAGGAGGCGCUGAAAGGUUUCCCUAAUAGUUCCUGGUGAAUCAAAGAAGAACCAUAAAGGUUGCUGGACUGCAUCGUGGCCUUACCCCUGAGCAGUCAUCCUGUUAAAGGAGGAACCAGUCAGAAGCUGUUUUCAAAGUAGCUGAGCAGAUUUCAUCUCAACAGACAAAGCCGAUGGCAGAAGAUGUUUGGAGAAGAACUUCAGGCUGUCUACUGACAAGUAGAUCAAAGCAGCUCGUGCUCCUUCUGCUUCCAUUUUAAUGGCAAGAAGAAGAAGAACGCUUCAGCGAAGUGGCGUUCAUGGUGUCAGUGAACAGUCAUGGUCACACACUGCAUGUGGUUUUAAAAGCAACAUUGUUCACCACAACAAUGGAGAUGUGUAAUAUUAGUGCAGCUACAGUUUGUUCUUGAACAUCAGUUCUGUUUUCUACUUUGAUCACUUAGACCAAAAAAGUGUUGUUUUCAGAUUCUUUCUUUUAAAUCUGUAAAUCACCUGCUCAUUCUUUAUUACAAUUAGUUUCACAUAAAUGUUAGUGUUUCCUUUAUGGUCUUUUAAUGCUUACACUACACUGUACAUGUCUACAUUAGAGACAUUUCUGUUACCUGUUUCUGUUGACUCAGAAUUCAUAGUUUAACGAAAAAAACUUUACCACAGCUUAAUUUUGAGUACUUUACACGUCCAAUUCCUUAGUCUAAGGGGAAAUGGGCUGGUUUUUCUGUAGUGCUUUUCUUCUCUAACAUUCUACAUAAUUUACAUCAUUCACCCAUAAAGAAAUACAAGCACUUUUUUUAUGCUUUUCCUACUGGAAUGCUUUCUAUGCAACAUUCACACACAUUCAGACUGAGAUGGAUGCAUUGGAUGGAUGCUUCUGAGCUACAGCAGCCCCAGGUGGCUGUAUCAUAGUCAAAGCCUACUACCAAGAGAUCAAGAGUCAUCUUCAUGAAAGGAAACUCUUACCAGUUGCAAUCCGCUGCUAACACUCAAGAACUGGAAGACUGGAAUAGACUUUGCCAGAAAAACACAGAAAAAGCAGGAACAGUUCCAAGAUGAAAUUUUAUCAGCAUAAUUGGAAAAGAAAAUGAUGAAGAAGGAAAACUGAUCUGAAGAAUGUCACAUCAUCUGUCAAAGAUGUUGGAGCCAAUUUUACUCAUUGGAGUAGUUGGAAAGUCAUUGGACAGCACUUCACAGUGCAAAUAGAUAAUGACCUUUUUCAGUUUUAAAAAAAAUGAAAACAGCUUCUCAUGUUCAUGUUUGAUGAUAUAUUUACAGUAAAAUCUGCGAUUCACCGGUGUAUUGUUUUUAUUGUGAUCCUCGUUGAUCAGGAACAUUUCGAGAUUUUUGUCUUCAGAUUUUUAUGGCUUGAUAUAGAUUUAGUGUCUUUUUUCCA